RNAcentral lists this ribosomal RNA (292 nucleotides) under uncultured Actinomycetes bacterium. Its description in RNAcentral is "uncultured actinobacterium partial 16S ribosomal RNA". It matches the Rfam family "Bacterial small subunit ribosomal RNA", at positions 505 to 796 of the family's 1533-position model. Lineage: Bacteria; Bacillati; Actinomycetota; Actinomycetes. The record is from RNAcentral.
GUGCCAGCAGCCGCGGUGAUACGUAGGGUGCGAGCGUUGUCCGGAUUUAUUGGGCGUAAAGGGCUCGAAGGUGGUUGAUCGCGUCGGAAGUGUAAUCUUGGGGCUUAACCCUGAGCCCGCAUUCGAUACUGCAUGGCUAGAGUCCGGUAGGGAGGUCUGGAACUCCUGGUGUAGCGGUGGAAUGCGCAGAUAUCAGGAAGAACACCGGUGGCGAAGGCGGGACCCUGGGCCGGUACUGACGCUGAGGAGCGAAAGCGUGGGGAGCAAACAGGAUUAGAAACCCCAGUAGUCC